CACAGUAUUUGUGGGCUAUGGCAACCAAUCCCCUUGGGCUUUCUUUUGCUUUAAUUUGCAUAAACACAGGCAUCAUAUGAAUAUUCAGUGAGUGGCUUUGCAUUAAGUAAGUGCCCUUAAUCAGCUUUUCAGUUCAGUUUUAUUGGUUGCACGCACAGUCAGUUAUUUCAUCCAGAAAAUCUGAAGGCCCUACAAACUAACCAGAGUAUGACCACCAUAAAGCAAGGAGACAUUUGGAUGGUCUCCUCUACAGCAGCAGCACAGAUGGUCUACACACAGGCUUCACUGCAGAGGGCUUCUCGCCCUCCCUACUGCUCAAACCAGGUCCUGUCUCUACACUUAGCUUGUUAGAUGGGCACCAUGGGAUAUCAUCUGAUGGAGCCCCAGGACUGGUGAUGCUCUCUGUAAGUAAUGCUCUUCUCAUGGAGCCAGUGUUUCCUAGAAGCAGGACUGGGAAGGCACACUUGAAAAAAAAGAGGACAACUUUCUCCACUAAACACACACACAAACACAUACCUAUAUAAAUUAUUUGGCGACUACUAAAAGUUAAGGAGGCCCACAAUAGCUUUGGGUUUGUUGUUGUUGUCAUUUUGUUUUUCUGAUGGACCAGUGUUUAAGCUUAUUCUGUUCCCCGUAAGACAUCUCUCGAAUAGUAGUUUUCCAUUUAGUAGGCAAUACUUG
Molecule: long non-coding RNA, 681 nt
Filed under: Sus scrofa (pig)
Lineage: Eukaryota; Metazoa; Chordata; Mammalia; Artiodactyla; Suidae
Description: lncRNA (ENSSSCG00070007765.1)
Source: RNAcentral